UUUCAUUCUCCCACUAUCUCUCUCUCUCAGCAGACCACAGUUCCACAUGGCAUCUCUAUUUGUAGACCGCUUGCCUCCGUCAUGUCAAGAUUGGAUAUGAGUUUGAGGGUUUUCCAUAACUUUCUCUCCCUCUUCGUGAAAGCCGAUCGCCCAAAGUUCAUUGUGAAUAUAGGAUUUUCCAAAUUCGGACGGUUACUAUGCCAAAAUCGCCCCGCAAUAAAAGGACACAAAUCUGGACGAAUCCUAUUCCGAUUUCAGACUUUUAUUUUGACUGGGAGACAGAUCUCUGAAUUAUCUAGGUUUAAUAGGACUUCUAAGACUUCUCUAAGCCUAUAAAUAGACUUCUUUGCAUUCAAGAAAGGAUAGAGAAUUCGAGAGAGCAAAAUUUUACAGUUUUUCUCUUUUUAGUUUAGGUUUUCUUUAGAUUUAGGUUUUAUUUUUAUGUGGAGCUAAAUUUCCAACUAAAGUUGGGGAUGAAGCCUCACCGAUAAAGAACAUCAAUACUUUCAUGUAAGUCUUUAUUUAUCUGAUUUUAUUGGGUUUAAUAUUUCAAUUGUUUUACUUAUUUUCAAUGUGUAAAGUGAU
This is a non-coding RNA of Corylus avellana, 585 nucleotides long. The record is from RefSeq and is a predicted model, not a curated record. NCBI's taxonomy places the organism in Eukaryota, Viridiplantae, Streptophyta, Magnoliopsida, Fagales, Betulaceae.